AUCCUUUGCUGAGGAUACGGUUAACGGAGCGAAAGCGACGUUCAACCUCAAAAGAAGCAGAGGGGGCUUAGUGGUGGGGUGACUGCGUACCUUUUGUAUAAUGGGUCAGCGACUUAUAUUCUGUAGCAAGGUUAACCGAAUAGGGGAGCCGGAGGGAAACCGAGUCUUAACCGGGCGUUAAGUUGCAGGGUAUAGACCCGAAACCCGGUGAUCUAGCCAUGGGCAGGUUGAAGGUUGGGUAACACUAACUGGAGGACCGAACCGACUAAUGUUGAAAAAUUAGCGGAUGACCUGUGGCUGGGGGUGAAAGGCCAAUCAAACCGGGAGAUAGCUGGUUCUCCCCGAAAGCUAUUUAGGUAGCGCCUCGUGAAUUCAUCUCCGGGGGUAGAGCACUGUUUCGGCUAGGGGGCCAUCCCGGCUUACCAACCCGAUGCAAACUGCGAAUACCGGAGAAUGUUAUCACGGGAGACACACGGCGGGUGCUAACGUCCGUCGUGAAGAGGGAAACAACCCAGACCGCCAGCUAAGGUCCCAAAGUCAUGGUUAAGUGGGAAACGAUGUGGGAAGGCCCAGACAGCCAGGAUGUUGGCUUAGAAGCAGCCAUCAUUUAAAGAAAGCGUAAUAGCUCACUGGUCGAGUCGGCCUGCGCGGAAGAUGUAACGGGGCUAAACCAUGCACCGAAGCUGCGGCAGCGACGCUGAUGCGUUGUUGGGUAGGGGAGCGUUCUGUAAGCCUGCGAAGGUGGCCUGUGAGGGUUGCUGGAGGUAUCAGAAGUGCGAAUGCUGACAUAAGUAACGAUAAAGCGGGUGAAAAGCCCGCUCGCCGGAAGACCAAGGGUUCCUGUCCAACGUUAAUCGGGGCAGGGUGAGUCGACCCCUAAGGCGAGGCCGAAAGGCGUAGUCGAUGGGAAACGGGUUAAUAUUCCCGUACUUGGUGUUACUGCGAAGGGGGGACGGAGAAGGCUAUGUUGGCCGGGCGACGGUUGUCCCGGUUUAAGCGUGUAGGUGUGUGUUCCAGGUAAAUCCGGUUCACUUUAACACUGAGGCGUGAUGACGAGGCACUACGGUGCUGAAGCAACAAAUGCCCUGCUUCCAGGAAAAGCCUCUAAGCAUCAGGUAACAUCAAAUCGUACCCCAAACCGACACAGGUGGUCAGGUAGAGAAUACCAAGGCGCUUGAGAGAACUCGGGUGAAGGAACUAGGCAAAAUGGUGCCGUAACUUCGGGAGAAGGCACGCUGACACGUAGGUGAAGUGAUUUACUCAUGGAGCUGAAGUCAGUCGAAGAUACCAGCUGGCUGCAACUGUUUAUUAAAAACACAGCACUGUGCAAACACGAAAGUGGACGUAUACGGUGUGACGCCUGCCCGGUGCCGGAAGGUUAAUUGAUGGGGUCAGCGCAAGCGAAGCUCCUGAUCGAAGCCCCGGUAAACGGCGGCCGUAACUAUAACGGUCCUAAGGUAGCGAAAUUCCUUGUCGGGUAAGUUCCGACCUGCACGAAUGGCGUAAUGAUGGCCAGGCUGUCUCCACCCGAGACUCAGUGAAAUUGAACUCGCUGUGAAGAUGCAGUGUACCCGCGGCAAGACGGAAAGACCCCGUGAACCUUUACUAUAGCUUGACACUGAACAUUGAGCCUUGAUGUGUAGGAUAGGUGGGAGGCUUUGAAGUGUGGACGCCAGUCUGCAUGGAGCCGGCCUUGAAAUACCACCCUUUAAUGUUUGAUGUUCUAACGUGGACCCGUGAUCCGGGUUGCGGACAGUGUCUGGUGGGUAGUUUGACUGGGGCGGUCUCCUCCUAAAGAGUAACGGAGGAGCACGAAGGUUGGCUAAUCCUGGUCGGACAUCAGGAGGUUAGUGCAAUGGCAUAAGCCAGCUUGACUGCGAGCGUGACGGCGCGAGCAGGUGCGAAAGCAGGUCAUAGUGAUCCGGUGGUUCUGAAUGGAAGGGCCAUCGCUCAACGGAUAAAAGGUACUCCGGGGAUAACAGGCUGAUACCGCCCAAGAGUUCAUAUCGACGGCGGUGUUUGGCACCUCGAUGUCGGCUCAUCACAUCCUGGGGCUGAAGUAGGUCCCAAGGGUAUGGCUGUUCGCCAUUUAAAGUGGUACGCGAGCUGGGUUUAGAACGUCGUGAGACAGUUCGGUCCCUAUCUGCCGUGGGCGCUGGAGAACUGAGGGGGGCUGCUCCUAGUACGAGAGGACCGGAGUGGACGCAUCACUGGUGUUCGGGUUGUCAUGCCAAUGGCACUGCCCGGUAGCUAAAUGCGGAAGAGAUAAGUGCUGAAAGCAUCUAAGCACGAAACUUGCCCCGAGAUGAGUUCUCCCUGAGACUUAGAGUCUCCUGAAGGAACGUUGAAGACGACGACGUUGAUAGGCCGGGUGUGUAAGCGCAGCGAUGCGUUGAGCUAACCGGUACUAAUGAACCGUGAGGCUUAACCUUACA
RNAcentral lists this ribosomal RNA (2435 nucleotides) under Salmonella enterica subsp. enterica serovar Give. RNAcentral describes it as "partial 23S ribosomal RNA". It matches the Rfam family "Bacterial large subunit ribosomal RNA". The record is from RNAcentral. Lineage: Bacteria; Pseudomonadati; Pseudomonadota; Gammaproteobacteria; Enterobacterales; Enterobacteriaceae.